This 461-nucleotide ribosomal RNA is filed under the name uncultured bacterium. Its description in RNAcentral is "bacterial SSU rRNA". It matches the Rfam family "Bacterial small subunit ribosomal RNA", at positions 330 to 793 of the family's 1533-position model. The record is from RNAcentral.
AGAGCACUCCUACGGGAGGCAGCAGUAAGGAAUAUUGCGCAAUGGGCGACAGCCUGACGCAGCGAGCGCCGCGUGGGGAUGAAGGUCUUCGGAUUGUAAACCCCUUUCGGCAGGGAAGAUGGAGCGGGCAACCGUUCGGACGGUACCUGCAGAAGCAGCCACGGCUAACUUCGUGCCAGCAGCCGCGGUAAUACGAAGGUGGCAAGCGUUGUUCGGAUUUACUGGGCGUACAGGGAGCGUAGGCGGUUGGGUAAGCCCUCCGUGAAAUCUCCGGGCCUAACCCGGAAAGUGCGGAGGGGACUGCUUAGCUAGAGGAUGGGAGAGGAGCGCGGAAUUCCCGGUGUAGCGGUGAAAUGCGUAGAGAUCGGGAGGAAGGCCGGUGGCGAAGGCGGCGCUCUGGAACAUUUCUGACGCUGAGGCUCGAAAGCGUGGGGAGCAAACAGGAUUAGAUACCCUGGUAG